This 883-nucleotide long non-coding RNA is filed under the name Homo sapiens (human). RNAcentral's name for it is "HSALNT0259205". Lineage: Eukaryota; Metazoa; Chordata; Mammalia; Primates; Hominidae. The record is from RNAcentral.
AAACGUAGUCCAACAACGAAAGAGCCCUGAAGCUCAAGCGGAGCCCGCUGGCCGCAGGGGCCGCACCACGCCCCAGACCCUGGAGUUUCCGGGUGCGCAGACCCUUGCCAUCAGCAGAGGCUGCCGCUGCGCGUCCCCUAGGCGCGGAAGAGGCGGCUGGUGGUCCCUGACGGCAAGGUGAAGUCGAGGCAGUAAUCGGGAACCCAGGUUUUAUACAUUACGAAUAAAGCUGGCACGUUUCCAUUUCUCCUGGGCAAAUAUUUAGAAGAAAAGUUGCUGGGUAAUUGAAGCACUGAGACCACAGAGGCAAGAGCUGGGGAAGGAAAACUGCCCAUGAGAUGAGAUGUGCCUCUCAGCUUCCAAAAUCGGGGAGGGUUGCAAAGGGAUGACACCAUCCACACCAGAACUGCAUGAAUGGCAUCAGGAAUGAUCAGAGACCAUAAAUUCCAGUGAGACCAAUAACACCAUUUCUGGUCCUGCAUGCUCUUCCAAACUUUGCCACUAACCCCUUCAAGAGUAACAAGGCUAGGUUAGAAAAGGCAACAGAACUUCAUCCUAAUCUCUCUCAAGAUGCCCCCCAUGGAAUCCAGCCAUCAUGCUGUGAGGAAUCCAAGCAGCUACAUAGAAAGGCCACAACUAGAUAUUCCAGCUGUAGUCAGCUGAAGCUCCAGCCAACAGCCAACAUCAACCACCACACGUGAAAACGAGCAAGCCUUCAGAUGAUUCCGACUCCCAACCUCCAAGCCACCUCAGCUGAAGCCAAGUAGAGCAGAGACUAGCUGUCCCCCAAUGCUCUAAUAUGCAGAUUCAUAAUUAAAAAGAAUGUUAUUGUUCUAAGCCAUGAAGUUUUGGGGUGGUUUGUCAUGCAGCAACUGGAACUGCC